Molecule: ribosomal RNA, 554 nt
Filed under: uncultured bacterium
Lineage: Bacteria
Description: partial 16S ribosomal RNA
Rfam family: Bacterial small subunit ribosomal RNA
Source: RNAcentral
UAGGGAAUCUUCCACAAUGGACGCAAGUCUGAUGGAGCAACGCCGCGUGAGUGAAGAAGGUUUUCGGAUCGUAAAGCUCUGUUGUUGGUGAAGAAGGAUAGAGGCAGUAACUGGUCUUUAUUUGACGGUAAUCAACCAGAAAGUCACGGCUAACUACGUGCCAGCAGCCGCGGUAAUACGUAGGUGGCAAGCGUUGUCCGGAUUUAUUGGGCGUAAAGCGAGCGCAGGCGGAAUGAUAAGUCUGAUGUGAAAGCCCACGGCUCAACCGUGGAACUGCAUCGAAAACUGUCAUUCUUGAGUGCAGAAGAGGAGAGUGGAACUCCAUGUGUAGCGGUGGAAUGCGUAGAUAUAUGGAAGAACACCAGUGGCGAAGGCGGCUCUCUGGUCUGCAACUGACGCUGAGGCUCGAAAGCAUGGGUAGCGAACAGGAUUAGAUACCCUGGUAGUCCAUGCCGUAAACGAUGAGCGCUAGGUGUUGGGGACUUUCCGGUUCUCAGUGCCGCAGCAAACGCAUUAAGCGCUCCGCCUGGGGAGUACGACCGCAAGGUUGAAAC